Long non-coding RNA from Eriocheir sinensis (Chinese mitten crab), 1093 nucleotides. RefSeq lists it as uncharacterized. The transcript is spliced from 2 exons. Lineage: Eukaryota; Metazoa; Arthropoda; Malacostraca; Decapoda; Varunidae. The record is from RefSeq and is a predicted model, not a curated record.
UGUAGUAGAUAGAGGAUACAGUAAAAGUAGAGGUAAUAGAUAAAAGUAAAUAAAAAUAUAUAGAAAAAGUAGCAAGUAGAGUAGUAGAGAUUAUAAGUAAGAGGAAAAGUAGUUAAGUAGAUGGAGGAGAAGAGUAGAGUAAAUGAAAAGUAGCAGAAGUAGAAUGACGUAGUAAAUAAAUCUAAUAAAAGUGAAAAAGUAGACAGGUUACCCCCAAAAUAAAAAUAAUAAUACACAAAUACACACACAGUAAUAGUUUAAAAUUGGGUCACCAUCUAAUAUAUAUAUAGCAAUUUAAUACUUAUAGAAUCCUAAUGUAUCUUCGUUCUUGGUCAAUUUUCUUUCAUGAGGUUAUUGGGUCCUAUAUGUGUCCUGUCUAUAUAUGUUUCUUCCUUAUUAAUAGCCUGGCUUCUUCCUAUUGUUACAGGCUAGCUAGGUCCUUAUUAGUACAGGUAUAGCUAUAGGUCCUCAUUGUUACAGGCUAGCUAGGUCCUUAUUAGUACAGGUAUAGCUAUAGAUCCUCAUUGUUACAGGCUAGCUAGGUCCUUAUUGGUACAGGUAUGGCUAUAGGUCCUCAUUGUUACAGGCUAGCUAGGUCCUUGUUAGUACAGGUAUGGCAAGGUCUUCAUUGGUACAAGCUGACUUCUUCCUUAUUAAGACAUGGCUAUAGGUCUUUUUUCCUCUGCACAUCUCAAGAAAAGAAAGGAAAUAAAUGAAGAGAAUAAUAAAUGGGGAUAGAAAUGUAUAUGACAAUUUUAUUUACAUUACAGUUUUCUCUUAACACACACACACACACACACACAUUUUCUUCUCUCCUUCCCUUCCUUCUUUCUUCUCUUCCAUAUCUCUCUUCCUCUUCCUAUCCCUUUUCUCUCUCAUAACUCCAUCUUUCUUUCUCUUUUCUCUCCUUCCAUAUAUUUCCUUCCCUUCCUUCUUCCGUCCUCUCUUCCAUAUCCUUCUUUUGCUCUCUCGUUCUCUCUCUCCCUUCCUCUUCCCUUCCCCUCUCUUCUCUCCUUAUAAAUAUUUCUUUUGCUUCCCUUCUCUCCUUCAUAUCUUUCUUCCUCUCCUUUUUCUCUCUCUCAUAACUCCUUCC